AAAGAUGCGUUUAUCUGAUUUAACAGUAUUACUGCCAUCAAGUAAGCCUGAAAUUGUACAAUCUGAUUUGCUGAGCUCACAGCUGGGGUACUUGUAAUUGCUGCUGCCUUCCAUGUGGUUGCUGUGAGUGUUCUAUUUUUCACUGACAGGACAAAGAAAUG
Molecule: long non-coding RNA, 161 nt
Organism: Thalassophryne amazonica
Lineage: Eukaryota; Metazoa; Chordata; Actinopteri; Batrachoidiformes; Batrachoididae
Exons: 3
Source: RefSeq, a predicted model, not a curated record